RNAcentral lists this ribosomal RNA (468 nucleotides) under uncultured bacterium. RNAcentral describes it as "partial 16S ribosomal RNA". It matches the Rfam family "Bacterial small subunit ribosomal RNA", at positions 28 to 507 of the family's 1533-position model. The record is from RNAcentral.
GACGAACGCUGGCGGCGUGCUUAACACAUGCAAGUCGAACGGAAAGGCCCUGCUUUUGUGGGGUGCUCGAGUGGCGAACGGGUGAGUAACACGUGAGUAACCUGCCCUUGACUUUGGGAUAACUUCAGGAAACUGGGGCUAAUACCGGAUAGGAGCUCCUGCUGCAUGGUGGGGGUUGGAAAGUUUCGGCGGUUGGGGAUGGACUCGCGGCUUAUCAGCUUGUUGGUGGGGUAGUGGCUUACCAUGGCUUUGACGGGUAGCCGGCCUGAGAGGGUGACCGGCCACAUUGGAACUGAGAUACGGCCCAGAUUCCUACGGGAGGCAGCAGUGGGGAAUAUUACACAAUGGGCGGAAGCCUGAUGCAGCAACGCCGCGUGCGGGAUGACGGCCUUCGGGUUGUAAACCGCUUUCGCCUGUGACGAAGCGUGAGUGACGGUAAUGGGUAAAGAAGCACCGGCUAACUACGUG